RNAcentral lists this small nuclear RNA (110 nucleotides) under Panthera leo (lion). RNAcentral's name for it is "U2 spliceosomal RNA (ENSPLOG00000022407.1)". It matches the Rfam family "U2 spliceosomal RNA". From Rfam's summary of the family: U2 is a small nuclear RNA (snRNA) component of the spliceosome (involved in pre-mRNA splicing). Complementary binding between U2 snRNA (in an area lying towards the 5' end but 3' to hairpin I) and the branchpoint sequence (BPS) of the intron results the bulging out of an unpaired adenosine, on the BPS, which initiates a nucleophilic attack at the intronic 5' splice site, thus starting the first of two transesterification reactions that mediate splicing. RNAcentral also lists the same sequence under 1 other name. Lineage: Eukaryota; Metazoa; Chordata; Mammalia; Carnivora; Felidae. The record is from Rfam by way of RNAcentral.
AGGGCACUGGGCCUUUUGGCUAAGAUCAAGUGUAGUAUCUGUUCUUAUCAAUUUAAUGUCUGAUACGUCCUCUAUUGAAAAAGGGCAACUACUACUGAGUUCCAGCUAAU